RNAcentral lists this ribosomal RNA (497 nucleotides) under uncultured bacterium. Its description in RNAcentral is "partial 16S ribosomal RNA". It matches the Rfam family "Bacterial small subunit ribosomal RNA", at positions 28 to 507 of the family's 1533-position model. The record is from RNAcentral.
GAUGAACGCUGGCGGCGUGCCUAAUACAUGCAAGUCGAGCGAACAGACGAGGAGCUUGCUCCUCUGACGUUAGCGGCGGACGGGUGAGUAACACGUGGAUAACCUACCUAUAAGACUGGGAUAACUUCGGGAAACCGGAGCUAAUACCGGAUAAUAUAUUGAACCGCAUGGUUCAAUAGUGAAAGACGGUUUUGCUGUCACUUAUAGAUGGAUCCGCGCCGCAUUAGCUAGUUGGUAAGGUAACGGCUUACCAAGGCGACGAUGCGUAGCCGACCUGAGAGGGUGAUCGGCCACACUGGAACUGAGACACGGUCCAGACUCCUAGGGGAGGCAGCAGUAGGGAAUCUUCCGCAAUGGGCGAAAGCCUGACGGAGCAACGCCGCGUGAGUGAUGAAGGUCUUCGGAUCGUAAAACUCUGUUAUUAGGGAAGAACAAAUGUGUAAGUACCUAUGCACGUCUUGACGGUACCUAAUCAGAAAGCCACGGCUAACUACGUG